AAUGCUUCUUGGCCUCUUGGCUAAGAUCAAGUGUAGUAUCUGUUUAUAGGAGGGGAAUCUGGCUGCCCCUCUAUACAAGACAGACUACCUUGAUCCUGUGACACUUGGACACUUAAUCAACAGCACUUUAUGCUGCACUUUUU
This is a small nuclear RNA of Xenopus tropicalis (tropical clawed frog), 143 nucleotides long. Its record names the gene U2. It matches the Rfam family "U2 spliceosomal RNA". Rfam says of the family: U2 is a small nuclear RNA (snRNA) component of the spliceosome (involved in pre-mRNA splicing). Complementary binding between U2 snRNA (in an area lying towards the 5' end but 3' to hairpin I) and the branchpoint sequence (BPS) of the intron results the bulging out of an unpaired adenosine, on the BPS, which initiates a nucleophilic attack at the intronic 5' splice site, thus starting the first of two transesterification reactions that mediate splicing. The record is from Ensembl. NCBI's taxonomy places the organism in Eukaryota, Metazoa, Chordata, Amphibia, Anura, Pipidae.